RNAcentral lists this ribosomal RNA (253 nucleotides) under uncultured bacterium. RNAcentral describes it as "partial 16S ribosomal RNA". It matches the Rfam family "Bacterial small subunit ribosomal RNA", at positions 524 to 776 of the family's 1533-position model. The record is from RNAcentral.
UACGGAGGGGGCUAGCGUUGUUCGGAAUUACUGGGCGUAAAGCGCACGUAGGCGGCUUUGCAAGUUAGAGGUGAAAGCCCGGAGCUUAACUCCGGAAUUGCCUUUAAAACUGCAUCGCUAGAAUUGUGGAGAGGUGAGUGGAAUUCCGAGUGUAGAGGUGAAAUUCGUAGAUAUUCGGAAGAACACCAGUGGCGAAGGCGACUUUCUGGUCUGUAACUGACACUGAGGCGCGAAAGCGUGGGGAGCGAACAGG